UUUGUGUUCGGUGAUCUGACCAGUAUAGCCAUAUACUGAUUCUGGUCUGGUUGCUGAAAACAAGG
RNAcentral lists this microRNA precursor (65 nucleotides) under Panagrellus redivivus. Its description in RNAcentral is "microRNA prd-mir-7890 precursor". Lineage: Eukaryota; Metazoa; Nematoda; Chromadorea; Rhabditida; Panagrolaimidae. The record is from miRBase by way of RNAcentral.